GACCUACGGGGCGCAGCAGUCGGGAAUAUUGCGCAAUGGAGGCAACUCUGACGCAGUGACGCCGCGUAUAGGAAGAAGGUUUUCGGAUUGUAAACUAUUGUCCUCAGGGAAGAAAAAAGACUGUACCUGAGAAGAAAGCUCCGGCUAACUACGUGCCAGCAGCCGCGGUAAUACGUAGGGGGCAAGCGUUAUCCGGAAUUACUGGGUGUAAAGGGAGCGUAGACGGUAAUGCAAGUCUGGAGUGAAAGGCGGGGGCCCAACCCCCGGACUGCUCUGGAAACUGUGUAACUGGAGUGCAGGAGAGG
RNAcentral lists this ribosomal RNA (305 nucleotides) under uncultured bacterium. Its description in RNAcentral is "bacterial SSU rRNA". It matches the Rfam family "Bacterial small subunit ribosomal RNA", at positions 335 to 657 of the family's 1533-position model. The record is from RNAcentral.